GGUGGUGCAUGGUUGUCGUCAGCUCGUGUCGUGAGAUGUUGGGUUAAGUCCCGCAACGAGCGCAACCCUUGUCCUGUGUUGCCAGCACGUUGUGGUGGGGACUCACGGGAGACUGCCGGGGUUAACUCGGAGGAAGGUGGGGAUGACGUCAAAUCAUCAUGCCCCUUAUGUCCAGGGCUUCACACAUGCUACAAUGGUCGGUACAGAGGGUUGCUACACCGUGAGGUGGUGCUAAUCUCUUAAAGCCGGUCUCAGUUCGGAUUGGAGUCUGCAACUCGACUCCAUGAAGUCGGAGUCGCUAGUAAUCGCAGAUCAGCAAUGCUGCGGUGAAUACGUUCCCGGGCCUUGUACACACCGCCCGUCACGUCAUGAAAGUUGGUAACACCCGAAGCCGGUGGCCCAAACUCGUUAGGGAGCCGUCGAAGGUGGGAUCGGCGAUUGGGACGAAGUCGUAACAAGGUAGCCGUACCGGAAGGUGCGGCUGGAUCACCUCCUUU
This 497-nucleotide ribosomal RNA is filed under the name Wolbachia endosymbiont of Drosophila chauvacae. RNAcentral describes it as "bacterial SSU rRNA". It matches the Rfam family "Bacterial small subunit ribosomal RNA", at positions 1037 to 1533 of the family's 1533-position model. Lineage: Bacteria; Pseudomonadati; Pseudomonadota; Alphaproteobacteria; Rickettsiales; Anaplasmataceae. The record is from RNAcentral.